CUAAACUCAUUACCAGUGGCAGUGUCGUAUAAGGAGGGGGGAGGGGAAGGUCCGCUUUAAGUAGGAGAACCAAGUAACAUUGUCCAUCACACCUCCCAUUUAAUCACCAUUUUAUUUUGCUGCUACUCAAUGUGCUCAUUAGCAGCCCUACAACCGGGCGGUGACAAGCUCGACAGUCCUAGAAUG
This is a long non-coding RNA of Nanorana parkeri, 186 nucleotides long. RefSeq lists it as uncharacterized. The transcript is spliced from 4 exons. NCBI's taxonomy places the organism in Eukaryota, Metazoa, Chordata, Amphibia, Anura, Dicroglossidae. The record is from RefSeq and is a predicted model, not a curated record.